AGAGUUUGAUCAUGGCUCAGAUUGAACGCUGGCGGCAUGCCUUACACAUGCAAGUCGAACGGUAACGGGCCUUCGGGUGCCGACGAGUGGCGAACGGGUGAGUAAUGUAUCGGAACGUACCUUCAGUGGGGGAUAACGUAGCGAAAGUUACGCUAAUACCGCAUAUUCUGUGAGCAGGAAAGCAGGGGAUCGCAAGACCUUGCGCUGAUUGAGCGGCCGAUAUCAGAUUAGCUAGUUGGUGAGGUAAAGGCUCACCAAGGCGACGAUCUGUAGCGGGUCUGAGAGGAUGAUCCGCCACACUGGAACUGAGACACGGUCCAGACUCCUACGGGAGGCAGCAGUGGGGAAUUUUGGACAAUGGGGGCAACCCUGAUCCAGCCAUGCCGCGUGAGUGAAGAAGGCCUUCGGGUUGUAAAGCUCUUUCGGCCGGGAAGAAAUCGUAUGGGUUAAUACCCUGUGCGGAUGACGGUACCGGCAUAAGAAGCACCGGCUAACUACGUG
Molecule: ribosomal RNA, 501 nt
Filed under: uncultured bacterium
Lineage: Bacteria
Description: bacterial SSU rRNA
Rfam family: Bacterial small subunit ribosomal RNA
Source: RNAcentral